Molecule: ribosomal RNA, 406 nt
Filed under: uncultured beta proteobacterium
Lineage: Bacteria; Pseudomonadati; Pseudomonadota; Betaproteobacteria
Description: bacterial SSU rRNA
Rfam family: Bacterial small subunit ribosomal RNA
Source: RNAcentral
GGAGGAAAGCAGGGGAUCGCAAGACCUUGCGCUCAUUGAGCGGCCGAUGCCUGAUUAGCUAGUUGGUGAGGUAAAGGCUUACCAAGGCGACGAUCAGUAGCUGGUCUGAGAGGACGACCAGCCACACUGGGACUGAGACACGGCCCAGACUCCUACGGGAGGCAGCAGUGGGGAAUUUUGGACAAUGGGGGAAACCCUGAUCCAGCCAUGCCGCGUGAGUGAAGAAGGCCUUCGGGUUGUAAAGCUCUUUCAGCCGGAACGAAACGGUCACGGCUAAUACCUGUGACUACUGACGGUACCGGAAGAAGAAGCACCGGCUAACUACGUGCCAGCAGCCGCGGUAAUACGUAGGGUGCGAGCGUUAAUCGGAAUUACUGGGCGUAAAGCGUGCGCAGGCGGUUUUGUA